AUGCCCAGCUCUGCCCCUCCCCUGCCCCCCUACCCCAUUCCCAGCCCAGACCCCCAACUACAGCCUCAGCCCCUUCCUACGGACUCUGAGCCCCCGACUCCGGCCGGGACCGGGACGCAGCCCCCUCCUCACGGACUGCGACCCCGACUCCAGCCGGGACCCUCGACUCCGACCCCCUCCUCACGGACCGCGACCCCCGACUCCAGCCGGGACCCUCGACUCCGACCCCCUCCUCACGGACCACGACCCCCGACUCCGGCCAGGACCCUCGACUCCGACCCCCUCCUCACGGACCGCGACCCCGACUCCAGCCGGGACCCUCGACUCCAGCCCCUUCCUCAAGGACCGCGACCCCGACUCCGGCCGGGACCCUCGACUCCAGCCCCUUCCUCAAGGACCGCGACCCCGACUCCGGCCGGGACCCUCGACUCCAGCCCCCUCCUCACGGACCGCGACCCCGACUCCGGCCGGGACCCUCGACUCCAGCCCCUUCCUCAAGGACCGCGACCCCGACUCCGGCCGGGACCCUCGACUCCGGCCCCCUCCUCACGGACCGCGACCCCGACUCCGGCCGGGACCCUCGACUCCGGCCCCUUCCUCAAGGACCGCGACCCCGACUCCGGCCGGGACCCUCGACUCCGACCCCCUCCUCACGGACCGCGACCCCGACUCCGGCCGGGACCCUCGACUCCGGCCCCCUCCUCACGGACCGCGACCCCGACUCCGGCCGGGACCCUCGACUCCGGCCCCUUCCUCAAGGACCGCGACCCCGACUCCAGCCGGGCCCCUCGACUCCAGCCCCUUCCUCACGGACCGCGACCCCGACUCCGGCCGGGACCCUCGACUCCGGCCCCUUCCUCAAGGACCGCGACCCCCGACUCCAGCCGGGCCCCUCGACUCCAGCCCCUUCCUCACGGACCGCGACCCCGACUCCGGCCGGGACCCUCGACUCCGACCCCCUCCUCACGGACCGCGACCCCGACUCCAGCCGGGACCCUCGACUCCGACCCCCUCCUCACGGACCGCGACCCCCGACUCCGGCCGGGACCCUCGACUCCGACCCCCUCCUCACGGACCGCGACCCCCGACUCCGGCCGGGACCCUCGACUCCGACCCCCUCCUCACGGACCGCGACCCCCGACUCCGGCCGGGACCCUCGACUCCGGCCCCUUCCUCACGGACCGCGACCCCCGACUCCAGCCGGGACCCUCGACUCCGGCCCCUUCCUCACGGACCGCGACCCCCGACUCCAGCCGGGCCCCUCGACUCCAGCCCCUUCCUCACGGACCGCGACCCCCAACUCGGUCCACAGCCAAACCGGAGCCGUUCCAGGGCGCCUGCCCCGGGCCGCCCAGGGCCGCCCUCCGCCCCGGCCACGCCCCUGCCCCCCGAGCCCGAGGCAGGGCCGCCGGACCCCGGCCCGGCCGGCGGCUGCACGCGCCCUUACCUGAGCUCUGGCCGCCGCGGCCGCCUCAGCCUCGCCGCGCAGCCGAACCCGCCGCCUAG
This 1506-nucleotide long non-coding RNA is filed under the name Canis lupus familiaris (dog). Its description in RNAcentral is "lncRNA (ENSCAFG00040010390.1)". Lineage: Eukaryota; Metazoa; Chordata; Mammalia; Carnivora; Canidae. The record is from RNAcentral.